RNAcentral lists this small RNA (49 nucleotides) under Streptomyces jeddahensis. Its description in RNAcentral is "raiA-hairpin RNA". It matches the Rfam family "raiA-hairpin RNA". Lineage: Bacteria; Bacillati; Actinomycetota; Actinomycetes; Kitasatosporales; Streptomycetaceae. The record is from Rfam by way of RNAcentral.
CACCAAGUCCGAGGCUCCCGGGGCAUCCCGGGACCUGGUGCAAAAGGGA